CGUACGCACGCACUUGCCACAAGGAGACGCUGUUCAGUUUACCGGAUCCUGUCCCGCGCCAGCCAACCAGGACAAGGCCGGGGAGCUCGAGACAGGCAGCCUAGACCAAGAACCGGAAGGAGGAAAAGGAACCGGAGGGAGGAAGAGGAGGGGCGGGACGAGACCACCAGGCAAGAGUCCAAACUUUCCCGCGGCGACCUAACUGCACCUCCAGUGUCUUCCCCCAGAGGGCACAGAAGCAGCAAGAAGGGCGGGAACACUUGACUGGGGUCCAUGCAGCUCUAGGCUGAGUCUUGCAGGGCUGAGCCCCCCAGGCCUGCUCUCCUGUGUCCUGGCCGCUCCGUCAGUGCCUGCCAGUGGGGUCCAGAGGGACCGUUUUUUUAACGCCUCUUUUGCAGUCUCCCGCAUUGACUUCAUAACCAAGUUCUGGGUCCCUGCCUCUGGAGUGCCUGAUGAGACAAAACGGCUCCUCGUCCUGCAUCCCCGCUGCUACUUCCAGAAUUCAGGCCUCGUGGUCUGGAGCCUGCACUGUUCCAUGAGCCUCCUGAGCAACCUGGAGUCCUCUGUCUUUCUUCCCUCAGUGAGAUGCGCCUACUUCUCCCUGGAGAAGCUUGAGGAAGCAGAAAUGCUGGAGAUGAGCUGCUCCUCACUCUCACUCCUGGGUGUGCUGGGCAGUGGGGUGCAAUGUGCACGUAGGUGCACACUCUCCCUGGGCGGCAGCGAGCAGCAGAGGUCUGAUCUGUGGUCGGAUGACGAGAGGAAGUGCAAGUAAAGCAGCUGCAGCGACGGAGUUUUGCUCUUGUUGCCCAGGCUGGUGCAAUCUCGGCUCACCACUACCUCUGCCUUCUGGGCUCAAGCGAUUCUCCUUCCUCAGCCUCCUGAGUGCUGGGAUUACAGAGACCUCGUCCGCACAGGGGCUUGUUCUUCUGUGUCUUUGCAGGGCUGUUUUGGACUCAGUAUUCACCUAAGCACUCCAAAUUACCCAGCACACCCUGCCUGCAUGGCGCUGCGCUGCACCUUCACUCUGGUCACGGGUCUGGCAGUCAGCUCACCAAUUCCUCCUGCUUCCCUGGGACUUGCCGGCUUUUAGCACUGCAAUUCACUCAGCAAACUGGGACUGUUGGUCACCCUACCUGGCAGCCAGUGAUAAGGUGAGGGCCACUCCUGGGAGGGAGGACACCUGUGGGGAAAAUUCUUGUGUUAUUUAUUUCUCCUUCGGGAUAGGGUGCCUGCAGCGCUUCAUGGGAGGGGGUGGGCUGAUGCUGCGGGCUCAGAAGUUUCAAGGGCAUCUGGGGAGACCAGAUAUUCAGAGACCUUCUAGAUGUGCCUGUUCCAUGUAUCAGGGACGCAGGUUUUCCCAACAGGGCUGGUGUCAUUGGCAUGACAGACCUGCCUUGGCUGAGCGUUCACCUGUCUUUGGAGUUCAGCCACCUUAGCAAGUCCUGGGUUUGUUCUUCAGACUUUGCUGCUCGCCCAUUGCCUGGAUCGGGGGCUACUUUGUAAACCACCAGGAAGACUCCAGUGUUUCUGGUUAAUUUUUAGAUGUUUGUUAAUUGCUCUUGGUCUCUCAUUAAUCCCCUGUGGGUCAUCCAGGAAACAUACUCACCACUGUCUGUUCUCUGAGUUUUCAUUUCCAGGCAUCCGCCCUGCCUGGAUCUCCUCACCUGCCAGGAACUUCCUCUCCACAAGCCGGCCAUCCCAGCAAAAGUUCUAACACCAAAGGUCUGGCAACUAGCCUGCCAUCUUGUGCCUGGAGCCGCCUGCGUGCCACCUACUCCCGAAGAUGGGAACCUUGUUGCCAGUUGGGCAGAUGCGGGGCAAUCCUGUACCAAGACCCCAUUUUACCACCUGCUUUCUCAGACCACUCUGGAACCCACUGUCUCAGAUUGUGUCCUCCAGGAAGCAGACCAUGAGAGGGAGUUGGCAGGGCCAAAGAUUUACUGGGGCUAACUAACACUCAGGAAAGGGAUAGGAAGGAAACAGGGCUGGAGAGCAGGUUGAGCCCGACCUGACAGUCUCGAGCAGCCCAACAGGGAGGUGUGGAGCAAGGGUUGCCCACUAGAGGGGCCUGCAUUGGGUACGGGUGAUGGGGUCCACAUGGUACCUGGCAUAUAGCAGGCUGUGCAAUCCAUAUUAACUGACUGGAUAAAUUAAUGCCCAGAAAAGGUGCCCUGGAGAAUGGGUGUGUGCUGAACACAAUAGGGAAGGGCCCAGCAUCUGCCUUGGCAUAGGCAGAACUGUGCUGUGCCCUGCAACAGGCCACCUGAGAGCUGCUUUGAUCUUGUGUGUACAUUAGAUGACUGCCAGGGGCAUGAAGGGGAUGUGCUUCCAGGGCAUUUGCUGGCAGGGCGUCUCGUGAUCUCUUGGUAUUGGUGUGAGCACAGCCUGGCAGGAGAGGGCAGAUCUCCAUGCAAAGUAUGUCAGAAAGCAGAUGGAAGCCAGGCCCCCUCCUGAAAGAGGCUCCUUGAAGAGACAGAGAAGAGUCCAUGAGAAUCAACAUUUUCUGAGGACUCCAACUGUGUGCCAAGAGAGUUCCCCUGCUGGUGCCUCCUCUGUAGUAAAGGAAAGGCUCCUGGGACCACAUUAUCAUUCUCUUCACUCGAGAGAUGAGGACACUGAAAUUCAGAGAGGGGAAGUGAUUUGCCUCAGCUUGUACUAAAGAAACAUUUCAACAGAGAACCCAGUGGAAAUUAUGACAUGUUAUCUUCUCAGAGUCCUGAACUCCCAUCCCUACCUCAGAAGAGACUCCUCUGUUCACAGAAGCUAAAGGCAGUUCCUUCCCAAUGGCAACUAUGUUUGGAUGUUGGAUCUACACUUUCUCAAGCACUGUGAUCUUCAAAUUUUUUCAGGAAGAAAGAGAGAAUCAGCAACAUGGCAUUGAAGGUACCCGUUGACAGUGACGUGCAUCACAGCAUUAACAGGAGAAAUGCUUGUGUGUGCAAAUGGGAGACAAAGGAAAGGGACCACCACAUCCAUGGAGUGCACCGCGUGAGAGAAAUGCUCAGGAAGGGAAUUGACCAGAUUGGCUGUGGAGAGAAAAGAGAAGGAACAUGGGAGGCAGAGCUGAGCAACCAGGCUUUCACUGCUGAAUGUCUGAGCCAGCUCCAUCGUACAACAGGAGUGAGGGAAGUACCUGCUUCACAAGGUUGUCAUAGCCAUCAAAUGGGAUCACACUCUAAAGGCAGUUCUGGAGGCCAGAAAUCAGAAAUCAAGGUGUCAGCAGUUCCAAGCUCCCUGCGAAGGCUCUAGGGGAUAAUCCUUCCUUGCUUCUUCCAGCUUCUGGUGGAUCCAGGUGUUCCUUUGGCUUGUGGCCGUAUCACUCCAACCUCUGGCUCCAUCUUCACCCUUACCUACUUCCCUGUGUAUCUUGAAUCUCCUGCCACUCUCUUAUAAUGACACGUCAUUGGAUUUAGUGCCUAUUUGGA
This 3425-nucleotide long non-coding RNA is filed under the name Homo sapiens (human). RNAcentral describes it as "non-protein coding LINC00894:42". The record is from RNAcentral. Lineage: Eukaryota; Metazoa; Chordata; Mammalia; Primates; Hominidae.